This is a small nucleolar RNA of Vicia villosa (hairy vetch), 80 nucleotides long. RefSeq annotates it as small nucleolar RNA Z102/R77. Lineage: Eukaryota; Viridiplantae; Streptophyta; Magnoliopsida; Fabales; Fabaceae. The transcript has a single exon. The record is from RefSeq and is a predicted model, not a curated record.
GAAUGAAGUGAUGAUUUAUUGUUUCCUAUUGGUUUGAUUGCCUGUAUGAUGGCUCUUGUAUUAGCUCUAUCUGAUCAUUC